AGCAGCCGCGGUAAUUUCAGCUCCAAUAGCGUAUAUUAAAGUUGUUGCAGUUAAAAAGCUCGUAGUUGAAUUUCGGGGUCAGUAGGUCGGUCGUGCCACAGGUAUGCACUGGUCUCACUGAUUCCUCCUUCCUGAUGAACCGUAAUGCCAUUAAUUUGGUGUUGCGGGGAGACUGGACUGUUACUUUGAAAAAAUUAGAGUGUUUAAAGCAGGCUAACGCUUGAAUACAUUAGCAUGGAAUAACGGAAUAGGACGUUCGAUCUUAUUUUGUUGGUUUCUAAGAUUGACGUAAUGAUUAAUAGGGAUAGUUGGGGGCAUUAGUAUUCAAUUGUCAGAGGUGAAAUUCUUGGAUUUAUUGAAGACUAACUACUGCGAAAGCAUUUGCCAAGGAUGUUUUCAUUAAUCAAGAACGAAAGUUAGGGGAUCGAAGACGAUCAGAUACCGUCGUAGUCUUAACCAUAAACUAUGCCGACUAGGGAUCGGAUGAUGUUAAUUUUUAAUGACUCAUUCGGCGCCUUAA
RNAcentral lists this ribosomal RNA (520 nucleotides) under uncultured Glomus. Its description in RNAcentral is "SSU rRNA". It matches the Rfam family "Eukaryotic small subunit ribosomal RNA", at positions 569 to 1091 of the family's 1831-position model. The record is from RNAcentral. Lineage: Eukaryota; Fungi; Glomeromycota; Glomeromycetes; Glomerales; Glomeraceae.